This 116-nucleotide ribosomal RNA is filed under the name Candidatus Daviesbacteria bacterium RIFCSPLOWO2_01_FULL_39_12. The record is from RNAcentral. Lineage: Bacteria; Candidatus Daviesiibacteriota.
CUCGGUGGUUUGUGCGAGCUGGUUCCACCUGAUCCCAUCCCGAACUCAGUAGUUAAACGGCUCAGCGGGGACGAUAAUUCGGCCAUUGGCCGAGUGAAAAUACCUCACUGCCGGGA